This 69-nucleotide transfer RNA is filed under the name Cirripectes castaneus (chestnut eyelash-blenny). Its description in RNAcentral is "tRNA-Ala". It matches the Rfam family "tRNA". Rfam says of the family: Transfer RNA (tRNA) molecules are approximately 80 nucleotides in length. Their secondary structure includes four short double-helical elements and three loops (D, anti-codon, and T loops). Further hydrogen bonds mediate the characteristic L-shaped molecular structure. tRNAs have two regions of fundamental functional importance: the anti-codon, which is responsible for specific mRNA codon recognition, and the 3' end, to which the tRNAs corresponding amino acid is attached (by aminoacyl-tRNA synthetases). tRNAs cope with the degeneracy of the genetic code in two manners: having more than one tRNA (with a specific anti-codon) for a particular amino acid; and 'wobble' base-pairing, i.e. permitting non-standard base-pairing at the 3rd anti-codon position. The record is from RNAcentral. Lineage: Eukaryota; Metazoa; Chordata; Actinopteri; Blenniiformes; Blenniidae. RNAcentral also lists the same sequence under 2 other names.
AAGGCUUUAGCUUAAUUAAAGUACCUGUUUUGCAUACAGGAGAUGUGGGUUAGGAGCCUGCAAGUCUUA